GAUGAACGCUGGCGGCGUGCUUAACACAUGCAAGUCGAACGGGAAACAUCUUAUUGAAGCUUCGGCAGAUUUAGCUUGUUUCUAGUGGCGGACGGGUGAGUAACGCGUGGGUAACCUGCCUUAUACUGGGGGAUAACAGUCAGAAAUGGCUGCUAAUACCGCAUAAGCGCACGGAGCCGCAUGGCUCAGUGUGAAAAACUCCGGUGGUAUAAGAUGGACCCGCGUUGGAUUAGCUAGUUGGCAGGGCAGCGGCCUACCAAGGCGACGAUCCAUAGCCGGCCUGAGAGGGUGAACGGCCACAUUGGGACUGAGACACGGCCCAGACUCCUACGGGAGGCAGCAGUGGGGAAUAUUGCACAAUGGGGGAAACCCUGAUGCAGCGACGCCGCGUGAAGGAAGAAGUAUCUCGGUAUGUAAACUUCUAUCAGCAGGGAAGAUAAUGACGGUACCUGACUAAGAAGCCCCGGCUAACUACGUGCCAGCCGCCGCGGUUA
RNAcentral lists this ribosomal RNA (494 nucleotides) under uncultured bacterium. RNAcentral describes it as "partial 16S ribosomal RNA". It matches the Rfam family "Bacterial small subunit ribosomal RNA", at positions 28 to 523 of the family's 1533-position model. The record is from RNAcentral.